This 505-nucleotide ribosomal RNA is filed under the name Cephalobus persegnis. RNAcentral describes it as "SSU rRNA". It matches the Rfam family "Eukaryotic small subunit ribosomal RNA", at positions 88 to 590 of the family's 1831-position model. Lineage: Eukaryota; Metazoa; Nematoda; Chromadorea; Rhabditida; Cephalobidae. The record is from RNAcentral.
CGCGAAUGGCUCAUUACAACAGCUAUAAUUUACUUGAUCUUGACACAAUCCUACUUGGAUAACUGUGGUAAUUCUAGAGCUAAUACAUGCAUUAAAGCUCUGACCUCACGGGAAGAGUGCAUUUAUUAGAACAAAACCAAGCGGCUUCGGCUGUUUCUGGUUGACUCAUAGUAACUGAGCUGAUCGCAUGGUCUCGCACCGGCGACGUGUCUUUCAAGUAUCUGCCGUAUCAACUUUCGAUGGUAGUGUAUCUGACUACCAUGGUGAUCACGCGUAACGGAGAAUAAGGGUUCGACUCCGGAGAGUUCGCCUGAGAAAUCGCGAACACAUCUAAGGAAGGCAGCAGGCGCGAAAAUUACCCACUCUCAGCACGAGGAGGUAGUGACGAAAAAUAACGAGACCGUUCUCUUUCGAGGCCGGUCAUCGGAAUGGGUACAAUUUAAACCCUUUAACGAGUAUCUAUGAGAGGGCAAGUCUGGUGCCAGCAGCCGCGGUAAUUCCAGCU